Molecule: ribosomal RNA, 460 nt
Filed under: uncultured bacterium
Lineage: Bacteria
Description: partial 16S ribosomal RNA
Rfam family: Bacterial small subunit ribosomal RNA
Source: RNAcentral
CCUACGGGUGGCAGCAGUGAGGAAUAUUGGUCAAUGGACGAGAGUCUGAACCAGCCAAGUAGCGUGAAGGAUGACUGCCCUAUGGGUUGUAAACUUCUUUUAUAAAGGAAUAAAACGAGGCACGUGUGCCUUUUUGUAUGUACUUUAUGAAUAAGGAUCGGCUAACUCCGUGCCAGCAGCCGCGGUAAUACGGAGGAUCCGAUCUGUAUCCGGCUUUAUUGGGUUUAAAGGGAGCGUAGAUGGGUUGUUAAGUCAGUUGUGAAAGUUUGCGGCUCAACCGUAAAAUUGCAAUUGAUACUGGCAGUCUUGAGUACAGUUGAGGUAGGCGGAAUUCGUGGUGUAGCGGUGAAAUGCUUAGAUAUCACGAAGAACUCCGAUUGAGAAGGCAGCUUACUAAACUGCCACUGACAUUGAUGCUCGAAAGUGUGGGUAUCAAACAGGAUUAGAUACCCCGGUAGUC